UACGUAGGGUGCAAGCGUUAAUCGGAAUUACUGGGCGUAAAGCGUGCGCAGGCGGUUAUGUAAGACAGGUGUGAAAUCCCCGGGCUUAACCUGGGAACUGCAUUUUGUGACUGCAUAGCUAGAGUACGGUAGAGGGGGGAUGGAAUUCCGCGUGUAGCAGUGAAAUGCGUAGAUAUGCGGAGGAACACCGAUGGCGAAGGCAAUCCCCUGGACCUGUACUGACGCUCAUGCACGAAAGCGUGGGGAGCAAACGAGG
Molecule: ribosomal RNA, 256 nt
Filed under: uncultured bacterium
Lineage: Bacteria
Description: partial 16S ribosomal RNA
Rfam family: Bacterial small subunit ribosomal RNA
Source: RNAcentral